GUCCUGUCGAGUGGAUCAAUUUUGUUCACUACUGCACAUGUGUUACCUGGGAGAUGGUUGACUUUUCACAGCAAGCCAGGAUCCUAUGGUUUGCGAUGGCUCACCCGAGUUUAGCAUCCGUGGAGGAAUGGAUAUUCCAUCUUGUAAAGACAACAGUCUCCCAUCAACAAAGGUGUGAUCCAUUGACAUCAUCUGUUCCAAAAAUGGGAUCCUCACCAAGCUACAGACAUAACUAAAGGCUUAUGGUAAUGGAGGCAGAGCGAUGCCGCAAUAUGUAUUAAAAGUUGGAUCAGGAAUUUAUUUUUCCUUGGGUGUUUCCAUGUCUUCCCGGAAAGUAACGUAUUGUGUAUGUUGUAUAGUAUUGACAGACUAUUUGUAGUUCUACCUCUACUUCUAUCUAUGCACUGAGAGAGCGAUUCAUAUAUCCCGCAAAAAAGAAAAAAAAAAUAGGAGAGAGA
Triticum dicoccoides is the source of this 458-nucleotide long non-coding RNA. RefSeq lists it as uncharacterized. The record is from RefSeq and is a predicted model, not a curated record. The transcript is spliced from 3 exons. NCBI's taxonomy places the organism in Eukaryota, Viridiplantae, Streptophyta, Magnoliopsida, Poales, Poaceae.